GGAAUCUGCCUGGUAGUGGGGGACAACGUUUCGAAAGGAACGCUAAUACCGCAUACGUCCUACGGGAGAAAGCAGGGGACCUUCGGGCCUUGCGCUAUCAGAUGAGCCUAGGUCGGAUUAGCUAGUUGGUGAGGUAAUGGCUCACCAAGGCUACGAUCCGUAACUGGUCUGAGAGGAUGAUCAGUCACACUGGAACUGAGACACGGUCCAGACUCCUACGGGAGGCAGCAGUGGGGAAUAUUGGACAAUGGGCGAAAGCCUGAUCCAGCCAUGCCGCGUGUGUGAAGAAGGUCUUCGGAUUGUAAAGCACUUUAAGUUGGGAGGAAGGGCAGUAAGCGAAUACCUUGCUGUUUUGACGUUACCGACAGAAUAAGCACCGGCUAACUCUGUGCCAGCAGC
This 399-nucleotide ribosomal RNA is filed under the name Pseudomonas putida. Its description in RNAcentral is "bacterial SSU rRNA". It matches the Rfam family "Bacterial small subunit ribosomal RNA", at positions 121 to 515 of the family's 1533-position model. Lineage: Bacteria; Pseudomonadati; Pseudomonadota; Gammaproteobacteria; Pseudomonadales; Pseudomonadaceae. The record is from RNAcentral.